UUCAUAUGUUUCCACAUUUCUGUAAUAACACAUGAGGAGGAAGAAUACAGUGGAAAUUUAAUUGCUUUACCUAUGGGAGCAGAUCAAUUAGACUGUGUCUACAGCUGCAAGUCACAGUGGUGUAGACUUGAUUUGUGCACACACACCCCCCCCCUUCCCACAGAGUAUCAGUUGUUUACCCAGAAGGACAUGGA
Perognathus longimembris pacificus (Pacific pocket mouse) is the source of this 194-nucleotide long non-coding RNA. RefSeq lists it as uncharacterized. NCBI's taxonomy places the organism in Eukaryota, Metazoa, Chordata, Mammalia, Rodentia, Heteromyidae. The record is from RefSeq and is a predicted model, not a curated record. The transcript is spliced from 3 exons.